This 76-nucleotide transfer RNA is filed under the name Clostridiaceae bacterium. RNAcentral's name for it is "tRNA-Lys". It matches the Rfam family "tRNA". From Rfam's summary of the family: Transfer RNA (tRNA) molecules are approximately 80 nucleotides in length. Their secondary structure includes four short double-helical elements and three loops (D, anti-codon, and T loops). Further hydrogen bonds mediate the characteristic L-shaped molecular structure. tRNAs have two regions of fundamental functional importance: the anti-codon, which is responsible for specific mRNA codon recognition, and the 3' end, to which the tRNAs corresponding amino acid is attached (by aminoacyl-tRNA synthetases). tRNAs cope with the degeneracy of the genetic code in two manners: having more than one tRNA (with a specific anti-codon) for a particular amino acid; and 'wobble' base-pairing, i.e. permitting non-standard base-pairing at the 3rd anti-codon position. The record is from RNAcentral. RNAcentral also lists the same sequence under 5 other names. Lineage: Bacteria; Bacillati; Bacillota; Clostridia; Eubacteriales; Clostridiaceae.
GCACCAUUAGCUCAGUUGGUAGAGCACCUGACUCUUAAUCAGGGUGUCCUGGGUUCGAGUCCCCGAUGGUGCACCA